RNAcentral lists this ribosomal RNA (253 nucleotides) under uncultured bacterium. RNAcentral's name for it is "partial 16S ribosomal RNA". It matches the Rfam family "Bacterial small subunit ribosomal RNA", at positions 524 to 776 of the family's 1533-position model. The record is from RNAcentral.
UACGUAGGUGGCAAGCGUUGUCCGGAUUUACUGGGCGUAAAGGGCGUGCAGGCGGUUUGUUAAGUCAGUGGUGAAAUAUGGCAGCUUAACUGUCAGGGUGCCAUUGAUACUGUUGGACUUGAGUACAGACGAGGUAGGCGGAAUUGACGGUGUAGCGGUGAAAUGCUUAGAUAUCGUCAAGAACACCGAUAGCGAAGGCAGCUUACUAGGCUGUAACUGACGCUGAGGCACGAAAGUGUGGGGAUCAAACAGG